AGAUUGAACGCUGGCGGCAUGCUUUACACAUGCAAGUCGAACGGCAGCACGGGGGCAACCCUGGUGGCGAGUGGCGAACGGGUGAGUAAGACAUCGGAACGUGUCCUAUUGUGGGGGAUAACCAGUCGAAAGACGGGCUAAUACCGCAUAAGCUGGAGACAGGAAAGCGGGGGACCUGCGAGGGCCUCGCGCGAUUGGAGCGGCCGAUGUCCGAUUAGCUAGUUGGUAGGGUAAAGCCUACCAAGGCGACGAUCGGUAGCUGGUCUGAGAGGAUGAUCAGCCACACUGGGACUGAGACACGGCCCAGACUCCUACGGGAGGCAGCAGUGGGGAAUUUUUGGACAAGUGGGGGCAACCCGUGAUCCAGCCAUGCCGCGUGAGUGAAGAAGGCCUUGGGUGUAAAGCUCGUUUCGGUGGAACGAAACGGUGGAGUGCUAAUAAGCGUACCACGAACUGAACGUACCUACAGAAGAAGACACCGGCUAACGUACGUGCC
This 496-nucleotide ribosomal RNA is filed under the name uncultured soil bacterium. RNAcentral describes it as "bacterial SSU rRNA". It matches the Rfam family "Bacterial small subunit ribosomal RNA", at positions 26 to 509 of the family's 1533-position model. The record is from RNAcentral.